CCUACGGGGGGCAGCAGUGAGGAAUAUUGGUCAAUGGACGAGAGUCUGAACCAGCCAAGUAGCGUGAAGGAUGACUGCCCUAUGGGUUGUAAACUUCUUUUAUAUGGGAAUAAAAUGUUCCACGUGUGGGAUUUUGUAUGUACCAUAUGAAUAAGGAUCGGCUAACUCCGUGCCAGCAGCCGCGGUAAUACGGAGGAUCCGAGCGUUAUCCGGAUUUAUUGGGGUUAAAGGGAGAGUAGGUGGAUUGUUAAGUCAGUUGUGAAAGUUUGCGGCUCAACCGUAAAAUUGCAGUUGAAACUGGCAGUCUUGAGUACAGUAGAGGUGGGCGGAAUUCGUGGUGUAGCGGUGAAAUGCGUAGAUAUCACGAAGAACUCCGAUUGCGAAGGCAGUUCACUGGACUGCAACUGACACUGAGGCUCGAAAGUGUGGGUAUCAAACAGGAGUAGAUACCCCAGUAGUC
RNAcentral lists this ribosomal RNA (460 nucleotides) under uncultured bacterium. RNAcentral describes it as "partial 16S ribosomal RNA". It matches the Rfam family "Bacterial small subunit ribosomal RNA", at positions 338 to 795 of the family's 1533-position model. The record is from RNAcentral.